RNAcentral lists this ribosomal RNA (386 nucleotides) under uncultured Mycobacterium sp. RNAcentral describes it as "bacterial SSU rRNA". It matches the Rfam family "Bacterial small subunit ribosomal RNA", at positions 519 to 902 of the family's 1533-position model. The record is from RNAcentral. Lineage: Bacteria; Bacillati; Actinomycetota; Actinomycetes; Mycobacteriales; Mycobacteriaceae.
GGUAAUACGUAGGGUGCGAGCGUUGUCCGGAAUUACUGGGCGUAAAGAGCUCGUAGGUGGUUUGUCGCGUUGUUCGUGAAAUCUCACGGCUUAACUGUGAGCGUGCGGGCGAUACGGGCAGACUUGAGUACUGCAGGGGAGACUGGAAUUCCUGGUGUAGCGGUGGAAUGCGCAGAUAUCAGGAGGAACACCGGUGGCGAAGGCGGGUCUCUGGGCAGUAACUGACGCUGAGGAGCGAAAGCGUGGGGAGCGAACAGGAUUAGAUACCCUGGCAGUCCAUGCCGUAAACGUUGGGCACUAGGUGUGGGGCUCAUUCCACGAGUUCCGUGCCGCAGCAAACGCAUUAAGUGCCCCGCCUGGGGAGUACGGCCGCAAGGCUAAAACUC